Molecule: ribosomal RNA, 127 nt
Filed under: uncultured bacterium
Lineage: Bacteria
Description: partial 16S ribosomal RNA
Source: RNAcentral
AAUGUCAGGGCUGCACGUUAUUAACGUACAGCUUUUCUUCCCAAUUGAAAGUGCUUUACAACCCUAGGGCCUUCUUCACACACGCGGCAUGGCUGCGUCAGGCUUUCGCCCAUUGCGCAAUAUUCCC